Molecule: ribosomal RNA, 346 nt
Filed under: uncultured bacterium
Lineage: Bacteria
Description: bacterial SSU rRNA
Rfam family: Bacterial small subunit ribosomal RNA
Source: RNAcentral
GGGCCCGCACAAGCGGUGGAACAUGUGGUUUAAUUCGACGCAACGCGCAAAACCUUACCUGGAUUUUGACAUCCCGGGCUCACCUCAGAGAUGAGGUUUUCUCUUCGGAGACCCGGUGACAGGUGCUGCAUGGCUGUCGUCAGCUCGUGUCGUGAGAUGUUGGUUAAGUCCCGCAACGAGCGCAACCCUUGUCCCUAGUUGCCAGCAUUGAGUUGGGCACUCUAGGGAGACUGCCGGUGAUAAGCCGGAGGAAGGUGGGGAUGACGUCAAGUCCUCAUGGCCUUUAUGUCCAGGGCUACACACGUGUUACAAUGGGGGUGACAAAGGGCAGCGAAGCCGCAAGGUG